GUAUCACAUAGCUGAAUACAUAGGCUUCGUGAAGCGAACCCGGCGAACUGAAACAUCUCAGUAGCUGGAGGAAAAGACAUCAACCGAGAUUCCGUUAGUAGUGGCGAGCGAACGCGGACCAGGCCAGUGCCUGAAUUUCAACUAGCAGAAGCCUUUGGAAAGAGGUGCCAUAGCGGGUGACAGCCCCGUAUGCGAAAGUGAGAAUUCAGGACUUGAGUAGGGCGGGACA
This 229-nucleotide ribosomal RNA is filed under the name Listeria monocytogenes. Its description in RNAcentral is "partial 23S ribosomal RNA". It matches the Rfam family "Bacterial large subunit ribosomal RNA", at positions 148 to 424 of the family's 2925-position model. The record is from RNAcentral. Lineage: Bacteria; Bacillati; Bacillota; Bacilli; Caryophanales; Listeriaceae.